This 459-nucleotide ribosomal RNA is filed under the name uncultured bacterium. Its description in RNAcentral is "partial 16S ribosomal RNA". It matches the Rfam family "Bacterial small subunit ribosomal RNA", at positions 339 to 795 of the family's 1533-position model. The record is from RNAcentral.
CUACGGGUUGCUGCAGUAAGGAAUAUUGCGCAAUGGAGGCAACUCUGACGCAGCCAUGCCGCGUGCAGGACUGAAGGCCUUAUGGGUCGUAAACUGCUUUUAUUUAGGAAUAAACUCUUGUACGUGUACGAGACUGAAGGUACUAAAUGAAUAAGCACCGGCUAACUCCGUGCCAGCAGCCGCGGUAAUACGGAGGGUGCAAGCGUUUCCGGAUUUAUUGGGUUUAAAGGGUGCGCAGGCGGACUAUUAAGUCAGAGGUGAAAUCCCGGAGCUCAACUUCGGAACUGCCCUUGAUACUGGUAGUCUUGAAUACGGUUGAAGUAGGCGGAAUGUAGCAUGUAGCGGUGAAAUGCAUAGAGAUGCUACAGAACACCGAUCGCGAAGGCAGCUUACUAAGCCGAUAUUGACGCUCAGGCACGAAAGCGUGGGGAGCGAACAGGAUUAGAUACCCGAGUAGUC